This 468-nucleotide ribosomal RNA is filed under the name uncultured bacterium. RNAcentral describes it as "partial 16S ribosomal RNA". It matches the Rfam family "Bacterial small subunit ribosomal RNA", at positions 28 to 507 of the family's 1533-position model. The record is from RNAcentral.
GACGAACGCUGGCGGCGUGCUUAACACAUGCAAGUCGAACGGAAAGGCCCUGCUUUUGUGGGCUGCUCGAGUGUCGAACGGGUGAGUAACACGUGAGCAACCUGCCCUUCACUUUGGGAUAACUUCCGGUAACUGGGGCUAAUACCGGAUAUGAGCUCCUGCUGCAUGGUGGGCGUUGGAACGUUUCGGCUGUUGGGGUUGGACUCGCGGCUUAUCAGCUUGUUGGUGGGGUAGUGGCUUACCAAGGCUUUGACGGGUAGCCGGCAUGAGAGGGGGACCGGCGACAUUGAGACUAAGAGACGGACCAGAUGGCGACGGGAGACAACGGGGGGAAAUAUUGCGCAGUGGGCGGGAGCGUGGUGGAACGAAGUCGGGGGCGGGAAGACGGCCGUGGGGUUGUGAACCGCUUUGGGCUGUGACGAAGCAUGAGUGACGGUAAUGGGUGAAGAAGCACAGGCUAACUACGUG